GCCACCUAGGCAUCCCCCAAAAUAAGAUCUUUAUAAAAAGAAAAACCAACUAACAUUUUAAAAAUAGUAAUAUAUACACAUCCUGUCUUCUUCCAUCCUAUCCACCCCACCUGACACUGAGCAGUGCCUUACAAAGUGUGUUCUCCAGUCAUCUCACAGGAUUAUGCUGUGAAGAAGGUGCACAAGGAAGAACCAACCUGGGCCAAAAUGAAAUGAGAAGCCUCACGUCCCAGGCACCAAGUACUUGUUUACUGGCUCUCCUGCAACAUUUUCCUUCAUCGUUUUUAGAAAAGGGAAGGGGGACUUUUCUGGGGCCAGUAGCUCAGACAAGAUCCUGAACACACUUCCAUCAGUGGAAGAGAGAGGAAAGCAACAGGCUUUCCAGCUAUGGCUUGGCCCCUCUGCGGUUCCCAUGGCAUCAAUCCGGGCUCCUGGCCCAAGACCGGCAGCCUCAGGCAGGAGGAGAUCGGGAGCGGAUGGGAGAGCUGGUCAGCUUUUAUUUAUUUGAGAGAGAAUGAGAGAUAGA
This is a non-coding RNA of Callorhinus ursinus (northern fur seal), 526 nucleotides long. The record is from RefSeq and is a predicted model, not a curated record. NCBI's taxonomy places the organism in Eukaryota, Metazoa, Chordata, Mammalia, Carnivora, Otariidae.